CGCAAUGGGCGCAAGUCUGACGGAGCGACGCCGCGUGAUUGAUGAAGUCUUUCGGGAUGUAAAGAUCUUUUAUGUAGGAGAAAGUUUUGAUAGUACUACAUGAAUAAGGGGUUGCUAAACUCGUGCCAGCAGCAGCGGUAAUACGAGUACCCCAAGCGUUAUCCGGAAUUAUUGGGCGUAAAGGGUGUGUAGGUUGUUAUGUUAGUCUUUUGUCAAAGCCUUCGGCUCAACCGGAGAAUUGCGGGAGAAACGGCAUAACUAGAGGGCGCGAGAGGUUUGCGGAACUCAUGGUGUAGGGGUGAAAUCCGUUGAUAUCAUGGGGAACACCGAAAGCGAAGGCAGCAAACUGGCGCGUUCCUGACUCUGAAACACGAAAGCGU
This 380-nucleotide ribosomal RNA is filed under the name uncultured organism. RNAcentral's name for it is "bacterial SSU rRNA". It matches the Rfam family "Bacterial small subunit ribosomal RNA", at positions 367 to 762 of the family's 1533-position model. The record is from RNAcentral.